Molecule: ribosomal RNA, 273 nt
Filed under: uncultured bacterium
Lineage: Bacteria
Description: partial 16S ribosomal RNA
Rfam family: Bacterial small subunit ribosomal RNA
Source: RNAcentral
AACGUAGGUUCCGAGCGUUAUCCGGAUUUACUGGGCGUAAAGCGUGUUCAGGCGGUCAGGCAAGUCGGGCAUGAAAUCUCUCGGCUCAACCGGGAGAGGUUGUCCGAUACUGCCAGACUUGAGGGCAGUAGAGGGUGGUGGAAUUCCGGGUGUAGUGGUGAAAUGCGUAGAUAUCCGGAGGAACACCAGUGGCGAAAGCGGCCACCUGGACUGUACCUGACGCUCAAACACGAAAGCUAGGGGAGCGAACGGGAUUAGAAACCCCCGUAGUCC